Molecule: ribosomal RNA, 406 nt
Filed under: uncultured bacterium
Lineage: Bacteria
Description: partial 16S ribosomal RNA
Rfam family: Bacterial small subunit ribosomal RNA
Source: RNAcentral
UGGGGAAUAUUGGACAAUGGGGGCAACCCUGAUCCAGCAAUGCCGCGUGUGUGAAGAAGGUCUUCGGAUUGUAAAGCACUUUCGACGGGGACGAUGAUGACGGUACCCGUAGAAGAAGCCCCGGCUAACUUCGUGCCAGCAGCCGCGGUAAUACGAAGGGGGCUAGCGUUGCUCGGAAUGACUGGGCGUAAAGGGCGUGUAGGCGGUUUACACAGUCAGAUGUGAAAUCCCCGGCUUAACCUGGGAGCUGCAUUUGAUACGUGUAGACUAGAGUGUGAGAGAGGGUUGUGGAAUUCCCAGUGUAGAGGUGAAAUUCGUAGAUAUUGGGAAGAACACCGGUGGCGAAGGCGGCAACCUGGCUCAUGACUGACGCUGAGGCGCGAAAGCGUGGGGAGCAAACAGGAUU